Long non-coding RNA from Prionailurus viverrinus (fishing cat), 5270 nucleotides. RefSeq lists it as uncharacterized. The transcript has 2 exons. The record is from RefSeq and is a predicted model, not a curated record. NCBI's taxonomy places the organism in Eukaryota, Metazoa, Chordata, Mammalia, Carnivora, Felidae.
CAUAUGGAUUUACUAAUCCAACCCUGGGGAACCAACCUCUCCCUCUAGCAUUUGAGAAGCAGCUUUGAUGUGUAGUGGCCUCAGAUGUUGGGUGAGCUUCCACGAGAUUGCUUUUGGACCACAGAGGAUUUCAGGGAAUGGUUCCUUAGUUUCGUCCCCCAAAAGCCGUGAGUCCCCACCUCUGCUCAGCACCUUUUGGCCUCAGUGCUGCCAUUGGGGGCACAGCAUCGAUUAUCCAGAAAGCAUCACUCACUGACUCAGACCGGCGGGGCAGGUUCAUCUGCACAAUAAAAUGUUCUGUGAAGGGAAUCGUUCGGAAACGUCCUCCUUCCACCCACAAACAGCAAUGUGUGGGCGAUGCGAAGGUCCCUGGGGGGUCUAUCUGCUGUAAUCACAAAGUCAGAAUUAUUUAUAAUAAGAUAAUUGCUUCUGUAGCCAAGAGGAUGCUCCUAAAGUGUUUUGAGAUGUAUUUUCCCUAAAUAAUAACGACAUUGAUUUGCUUAGUAGUAAAUUCCUCUCUUUGUAGAAGACGCUGCAUCUGCUGCCCAGUUUGUCUGAUUGAGUAAAUAUUUCAAAUCUGUGCGAUAGUUAAUGAAGGUUGAUUUAUUUUUUCCUUAGAUGCCUAGAAUGGAUAAGCUGGAACUUCUACAUUUCCAUACCCCUUAAAAAUGACUGCUUCUGACUGAAAAUGUAAAUUUGAUUAUUGUUUUUACCGAACUAAAAAUGCUAAGUGGAGUCUAUUUCUCAUCUCUUUACACCUUUGGUGUGGAAUUGACAGUACAAUGACAGGAAAACCCCACAAGGACCCACCUUGUCAGGGUCUGAAUAUGAGACACAGACUCUUAGAUUUUUGUUCAGUUAUGAUGCUGACCUAAUGAUUGUAUUCAUACAUGUGGUAACAGUAGAUGGGGGGGGAGGGGGUCUUGCAUUUGAGAAUGUGCUUUUACUUGCUCUGAUUUAUCCAGGUUACUUAAUGAAAUGUUCCUAUUUUAAUGAUUGGAAAGUUUCCCCUGCCGUACGCAAUCUAACCUGUAUCUGUGCUAUUUUCCUUUCAUUUUUCUGCUAUUUGUUAAAAUGUAUUUGGAUUCGGCAAUCUGUGGAUUGUAUUUUCUGGUGAGUGGUGUUUAUUAACUCUCCAUGUAGCAUUUCAUGCCCUGUAGGUGCUGAGUCUUGUUUGGUCUCGUGUGACACCACUAGGAAGCUUGUCCUUAACAUGUUCCUGGACGUAGAGGCUCAGUUUAUAGACCUGAGAGGAUUGAGGUCAGGGUAUUUAAGAGGCUUUCCUGGGAGGGAAAAUCUUGCCAACUUCCCUGAUUUGAGUUGCUGGGCGUUUGAUCCAAUCAGACUCAACUUCCUGUGCCUGGAUGUCCCCAUCCCACUGCCCUGCACAGCUGCACUAUCAGCCAUCCAGCCUAUGAGAUGAAGCAGACUCUGGGCAGAAGCAACCCUGAAAAUGAGGUCUAACUACACAGGAGCAGGACAGAGCAAACUUCAGUCAGAACCUUGUGGAAGGAGACUGUUCUGGAAACAGCCCUGUGCCCAACACAGAGCUGCUGGGACUCCAAUAGAAAGGGAGGUCUUGGGCAGCAGAUGAGACCCCAAUACAUCCAAGUCCCUGAGAUCCUGGCCACUUAGGUAUUCCAUGAAUGCUGUUACUCACGUGGCUCUCUUGGCACAAUCUCAAGUUCAUAAGCCCUGGCUGAACAGGUGGACCUGUUUCUGAGUAAGCAGUGUUUCACUAGACUGCAUGAAAAAUCUCCUCUGCUCUGGGAAUACAAUGGUAUUUGUCUGUAAUAUACUUAGAAAGUACCUUUUUUUUUCCUAGUAGAGACUGGGAUAAAUGUUUUGCUUCUUCCUGUGAGGGUGUUAAAUAUGCUGACAUGUAAUGGGCUGUCAUUUAAUUUUAAAGGCAAGGAAAACACGCAUUCCCAAAAGUGCUUCAUUUGGGAGAAAAAGGCCUGGAAAAAUGGACCUUUAGCCUUUUCUUUUUUUACAUAAAGGACCCCUUUUGGGGAAUCUGAGAGCUCUGGAUCCUUCUCCCUGAAAAUGCCCACUCCACCUGGCUCACAAUUUCUGAGUGCACUGAGAGCCUCUGAAAGCCCGUCCAUAACUAAGAACCUAAUCCCACGAGUGAUUCUAGAGUCCACUUCUUCACUUCCUCAGUCAUGAGCAUAUUGGAAUCACCCUGAGUCUAAAUACCGAGGAGAGACGGACGUCAGUGUACGUGGUAGCUACUGUUGAGCAUGCGAUCUUUGGUACCGACGUUUCCCUCCACAGUGAAUCUCGCCAGAGAUUAGGCUCUGGUGGGACCUCUGCUUUGUUUCACCGCCUUCUUCGGUCCCCCUUCAAGUGUGCAAGUGAUUGUGCCCCCGGGGGAGUCUCUAGAAAAUGCUGCUCAACCUGUGGGAAGUCCUCCUUACUGGUAGAACGUUUGUUCAUGUCCUCACAUUAUUACCCUGAGGAUGACAGUGAGAAAUUGAAAUCUGUGUGGCUUUAUUCUAGUGAAGCCCUUUCUCUUUGAAAUAUGUGUAUACUUUAUAUUUUUAGGCAUUUUUCCUUCAGUCUUGAUUUCCCAAAUAGCCAUCCUGUGGCACACUGUCAUUAACAUAACUCUGGGCGAUAAUGUGCUCAAAGUGGAAUUCAGGUAGCUAGCUGAGCGGCCAUAACUGUAUUCGACCUGAAGAGGCCCAGAGCGAGUCAGUAAGGGAAACAUCCUACAUGUUGGCCACUUUGGAGUAGGGCAUGUCCUGUAAGGCGCUCAACCUGUUUGUGCGUUACCCUUGCAGCCUGGGUGCGGUGUGCAAGUCCCCAUAGGGAGGCCCCUGUGACCUCCAUAUUGGGUCACUAGUCCACAGCGUAGCCCGGACCACCACCACCCCGAAGCCCCUGUGUUUUGGGAGCCGAGUGCCUGCAGCCCCCACUGUGACUCGGUCUAGCUGGGAGGGCGUGUGCACGCGUGUGUCUGUGGCAGAUGCAUGGUGCUGAUUUCACUUAGAGAAAGUGAACACAUUCUCCCGUGCGUGGCCACCUCACUGGGCUGCUUAAUGUAACUAUGCAGCCUUCACUUAAAGCAUUCUUUGGAAGCUGCCUUUUAGGACUGCCUCCAGAGCCUGUGACAUUCUUUUAACUGUUCUGAAUAUCAGCAAAUCAUCCUGCUUUGUAGAUGGAUUGGAUCUUAGAGAAAUUGCUAGAAGUUGUUCAGGGAUGUUUGGUCCAAGAUAGAGUAUCAGUGAUAAAAUAAUUCAUUUUUUCUUAUGUGUCUGGCUCCAAGCACGUAUCCAAAGAUUUUUAGCAGAGCAGCAAAACUAGAAUUAGCCCUUUAAGGCGGCUCUUUGAAAGGAUGUCAUACUCAUCUGGAUUCUGAGGUGUGUUUUAAAAAAACUAGGCUUAUUAACGGUCCAGCACAUCUUUUUAUUUAUUUUUUCAAUGUUUAUUUUUGAGAGAGACCGAGCAUGAGUGGGGGAGGGGCAGAGAACCCAAAGCAAGCUCCAGGCCCAGAGAUGUCAGCACAGAGACUGACACGGGGCUCGAACCCACGGACUGCGAGAUCAUGACCUGAGCUGAAGCCAAACACUGAACCGACUGAGCCACCCAGGUGCCCCCCCAGCACAUCUUAUAUAAGAAUGUGCAGUGUAUCUUUCUCUGAAGUUCAUGCUGACAUCACGAGAUCAUAAAAUUCAUGUUGAGUUAUAAAACUAAAUAUGAGCCAAACAGUUACAUGUUUAGCUAGUAAGGAUUGGGUGCCACGUUGGGGUAACCGUUUGGUCAAAAUCAGAAUUUUAUGUCAUCUGAUCCACUUGCACUGAUACGGCACUGUCUAAAUUAUUAACUUCAAGCCGCAAAAUUUAUCCUGUGCUCUGCCCUGCGGAGGAUUAAUUUGGGAACCCGAGAGCUCUCUGCAGUGCUCAGCCUUUGGCAUCUUUUGCCUCAGGGCUGGAGGCUGCCAGAUGACAAAUACCAGUGGGGAACAGGAGGGGCUGGUGGCUCAGCAGGUUUCGCUGCGGUCACAGAUCUUGAGGCAGCUUUUUGUGCUGCGUGGAGGGGGAGCAGGCUACCUGCGCUGGCGGGACACAGACCCCUCGUCUGAGGGCACAUCUAGAGCCAGGAAGCAGUCCUCGAACCGACAGACAAGUGAGAUGGGUUUCUCGGAUGGUUGUGUUAUCUUGGGCACUUGCCUCCCUGACUUUCCUCAUCUCGAGACCCAAUUUAUAGGCUUUCUUGGGACUAAUAUUUUGCUGCGCACAUUUUAUAUAAAAGAAGAUCUCUGUGAGGACUGCCUAACCAGGGAAAGCUCUGAAAUGGCUUUGCGACCAGUGAACACCCAUAGCAUUUCCCGGACUAGCCAGGACUCUAACGGAAGGAGGAAGAAAGAGUCAGUUAGGUAUUGUCUCCAUGGUCAGGGACAAGAGGCUUUUGUACGUGCACGGGGAGUUUCCCUUUAACUGUAUGCAAGCCUGUUGGUGGAACGGCUGGCUCUAAUGUUUCAGAGCCGGGGUCGGGGAGGAUCCGGGUGUCCUGCCAGGGAGGACACUUGUGAGGUCCUCUUACAGUCAGGCUCCUGUUUCACAGGGUGGAGAUUUCAGCUCCACCAUUCUGCUGGGCCUUCAAGUCUGCACGAGCGUGUGUGCUCUGCCCUUGGGUGCCCUUGGCCACUUUUGGCCAGGAGAUGACUGCCCCCUGUGAGCAUCGGAGGGAAACCCCAUAGGGAUCACACCUGUAGGGAUUGGACCUAAGCUCUGCUGCCUUCCCAGUAAUUUUGUCCUUAUCAGAAAUGCAAGGCUCUGCUUUGUGACCAUUUGGUUGCUUAGUAGUGUUCAGAGACUACUCUGUCCCUCGUUGGCUUCAUCCCAAUCAAGUCUCCGAGCCUCAGAGGUGGGCCCUACCUGUCUGCCUCUCUGAAGCAAAGCCACCAUCCAGGGAGGGAGCUGCCUUUUGUGGGGCCGAAUCCCGGCCAAGAACCCCCCCUAGUGCCAUUAGAGUGGCCCUCGCCACUGCUGGUGAUCUAGUAACCCCCAUGCCUCUGGAAACUGAGUAUCCCUGGAAAGAUUAACGGGGAACGUUACUCACUGACGAGGCCUUGUAUCACUUUCUUUUUUUUCAUGGUUUUUAAAUUUGUAUUUCUCCGGGAAACUUCCUAGGCUCUCCUGUCGGUUGUUUUCUAGAGUCCCUUGAGGUUUGUCCCUUGCGAUUGUUGGCUUUUCCUGUGGCCUUUAGGAGCUAGAGCAGGUAUGGGAUAAGACACAUAAUUUCACUAGGAAGGAGUCUUGAGU